GAUCCUGCUCAGGAUGAACGCUGGCGGCGUGCCUAACACAUGCAAGUCGAGCGAAGCACUUUGCUUAGAUUCUUCGGAUGAAGAGGAUUGUGAAUGAGCGGCGGACGGGUGAGUAACGCAUGGGUAACCUGCCUCAUACAGGGGGAUAACAGUUAGAAAUGACUGCUAAUACCGCAUAAGACCACAGCACCGCAUGGUGCGGGGGUAAAAACUCCGGUGGUAUGAGAUGGACCCG
This 235-nucleotide ribosomal RNA is filed under the name uncultured bacterium. RNAcentral describes it as "partial 16S ribosomal RNA". It matches the Rfam family "Bacterial small subunit ribosomal RNA", at positions 15 to 233 of the family's 1533-position model. The record is from RNAcentral.